Molecule: ribosomal RNA, 497 nt
Filed under: uncultured bacterium
Lineage: Bacteria
Description: partial 16S ribosomal RNA
Rfam family: Bacterial small subunit ribosomal RNA
Source: RNAcentral
GAUGAACGCUGGCGGCGUGCCUAAUACAUGCAAGUCGAGCGAACAGACGAGGAGCUUGCUCCUCUGACGUUAGCGGCGGACGGGUGAGUAACACGUGGAUAACCCACCUAUAAGACUGGGAUAACUUCGGGAAACCGGAGCUAAUACCGGAUAAUAUAUUGAACCGCAUGGUUCAAUAGUGAAAGACGGUUUUGCUGUCACUUAUAGAUGGAUCCGCGCCGCAUUAGCUAGUUGGUAAGGUAACGGCUUACCAAGGCAACGAUGCGUAGCCGACCUGAGAGGGUGAUCGGCCACACUGGAACUGAGACACGGUCCAGACUCCUACGGGAGGCAGCAGUAGGGAAUCUUCCGCAAUGGGCGAAAGCCUGACGGAGCAACGCCGCGUGAGUGAUGAAGGUCUUCGGAUCGUAAAACUCUGUUAUUAGGGAAGAACAAAUGUGUAAGUAACUAUGCACGUCUUGACGGUACCCAAUCAGAAAGCCACGGCUAACUACGUG